Molecule: ribosomal RNA, 390 nt
Filed under: uncultured bacterium
Lineage: Bacteria
Description: bacterial SSU rRNA
Rfam family: Bacterial small subunit ribosomal RNA
Source: RNAcentral
GACGAACGCUGGCGGCGUGCCUAACACAUGCAAGUCGAACGGACUGAGGAGAGCUUGCUCUCCGACGUUAGUGGCGGACGGGUGAGUAACGCGUGAGUAACCUGCCUGUCAGAGGGGGAUAACGUUUGGAAACGAACGCUAAUACCGCAUGAUACCACAGUGUCGCAUGACACACUGGUCAAAGGAGAAAUUCGCUGAUAGAUGGACUCGCGUCUGAUUAGAUAGUUGGUGAGGUAACGGCUCACCAAGUCGACGAUCAGUAGCCGGACUGAGAGGUUGAACGGCCGCAUUGGGACUGAGACACGGCCCAGACUCCUACGGGAGGCAGCAGUGGGGGAGUAUUGUCACAAUGGGGGAAACCCGUAGAUGCAGCAAUGCCGCGUGAGGGAA